UGCCAGCCGCCGCGGUAAUACGGAGGGAGCGAGCGUUAAUCGGAAUUACUGGGCGUAAAGCGCGCGUAGGCGGCUUUGUAAGUCGGAUGUGAAAGCCCUGGGCUUAACCUGGGAAUGGCAUUCGAAACUGCAGAGCUAGAGUAUGGUAGAGGGAAGUGGAAUUUCCGGUGUAGCGGUGAAAUGCGUAGAUAUCGGAAGGAACACCAGUGGCGAAGGCGACUAACUGGCUCGGUACUGACGCUGAGAUGCGAAAGCGUGGGGAGCAAACAGGAUUAGAUA
This 279-nucleotide ribosomal RNA is filed under the name uncultured bacterium. Its description in RNAcentral is "partial 16S ribosomal RNA". It matches the Rfam family "Bacterial small subunit ribosomal RNA", at positions 506 to 784 of the family's 1533-position model. The record is from RNAcentral.